UGGGGUAUCGCCAAGCGGUAAGGCACCAGACUUUGACUCUGGCAUUCGUAAGUUCAAAUCUUGCUACCCCAGCCA
Molecule: transfer RNA, 75 nt
Filed under: Faecalibacterium sp. CAG:1138
Lineage: Bacteria; Bacillati; Bacillota; Clostridia; Eubacteriales; Oscillospiraceae
Also listed under: 2 other names
Description: transfer RNA-Gln(TTG)
Rfam family: tRNA
About the family: Transfer RNA (tRNA) molecules are approximately 80 nucleotides in length.
Source: RNAcentral